RNAcentral lists this ribosomal RNA (279 nucleotides) under uncultured bacterium. RNAcentral's name for it is "partial 16S ribosomal RNA". It matches the Rfam family "Bacterial small subunit ribosomal RNA", at positions 506 to 784 of the family's 1533-position model. The record is from RNAcentral.
UGCCAGCCGCCGCGGUAAUACGAAGGGUGCUAGCGUUGUUCGGAAUGACUGGGCGUAAAGGGUGCGUAGGCUGUCUUAUGCGUCAGAUGUGAAAGUCCUGGGCUCAACCUGGGGAUUGCAUUUGAUACGGUAAGACUAGAGGCUAUGAGGGGAGAAUGGAAUUGCUCGUGUAGAAGUGAAAUUCGUAGAUAUGAGCAGGAACACCAAUGGCGAAGGCAAUUCUCUGGCAUUAACCUGACGCUGAGGCACGAAAGCGUGGGGAGCAAACAGGAUUAGAUA